AGUGUUCCACAUUAUCUUUUCGAGAUAAAAAUGAAAAAGUAUUAUUUUUUCCCAAAAUU
Molecule: transfer RNA, 59 nt
Filed under: Carychium tridentatum
Lineage: Eukaryota; Metazoa; Mollusca; Gastropoda; Ellobiida; Ellobiidae
Description: tRNA-Glu
Source: RNAcentral